CCUACGGGUGGCAGCAGUGAGGAAUAUUGGUCAAUGGGCGAGAGCCUGAACCAGCCAAGUCGCGUGAGGGAUGACGGUCCUAUGGAUUGUAAACCUCUUUUGUCGGGGAACAAAGGCGUCCACGUGUGGACUGAUGACUGUACCCGAAGAAAAAGCAUCGGCUAACUCCGUGCCAGCAGCCGCGGUAAUACGGGGGAUGCGAGCGUUAUCCGGAUUUAUUGGGUUUAAAGGGUGCGUAGGCGGUCAGUAAAGUCAGCGGUAAAAAUGCGGGGCUCAACGCGGUACAGCCGUUGAAACUGGCAGCAUUGAGUGGGCGAGAAGUAUGUGGAAUGCGUGGUGUAGCGGUGAAAUGCAUAGAUAUCACGAAGAACUCCGAUUGCGAAGGCAGCAUACUGGCGCCCUACUGACGCUGAGGCACGAAAGCGUGGGUAUCGAACAGGAUUAGAUACCCCGGUAGUC
This 459-nucleotide ribosomal RNA is filed under the name uncultured bacterium. RNAcentral's name for it is "partial 16S ribosomal RNA". It matches the Rfam family "Bacterial small subunit ribosomal RNA", at positions 338 to 795 of the family's 1533-position model. The record is from RNAcentral.